CCCAGUGUUAACCCCUAACCCAGUGUUGAACAGUAAAGACUGUUUUCUUCUGUUUCAGAGGCGCUGAAGAGAACAGACACAGAGCUACAGAAAGCAUGCUUGGUGGAGGCCGUGCGUAUCCUGGACGGUGUGUGUGUGGAGGACGCAGGGUGUGUGUAUCGUGCGUUCCCGUGUGUUAAGUCACUGUUCGGCCGUCUGAACUCUGACCUGUCCUGCAGCAGAGUCCUCCUGCCCAUCGCUCAGUUCUACCUGAACCACGGGGAGACUGCAGCGGUGGACAGUGAGUGUGUGUGGAGGUGUGUGUUUGGUGUUCUCCCAGCAGAGUGUUUCAACGACCCCUAUCUGGCCCACGAGACGCUGUCCUUCAUCAGAGCCAAUCAGCUGCAGCUCCACUCCUCUGUACCACUGUACA
Molecule: long non-coding RNA, 412 nt
Organism: Oncorhynchus nerka (sockeye salmon)
Lineage: Eukaryota; Metazoa; Chordata; Actinopteri; Salmoniformes; Salmonidae
Exons: 3
Source: RefSeq, a predicted model, not a curated record